Molecule: ribosomal RNA, 477 nt
Filed under: Calyptoglossa frontalis
Lineage: Eukaryota; Metazoa; Arthropoda; Insecta; Coleoptera; Carabidae
Description: 16S ribosomal RNA
Rfam family: Bacterial large subunit ribosomal RNA
Source: RNAcentral
GGUCUGACCUGCCCAAUGAGGAUUUAAAUGGCCGCAGUAUUUUGACUGUGCAAAGGUAGCAUAAUUAUUAGUCUUUUAAUUAAAAGCUUGUAUGAAGGGUUGGACGAAAUAAAAUCUGUCUUUAUUUAAAUUAAAAUAAAAUUUAACUUUUAAGUCAAAAGGCUUAAAUAAUUAUAAAAGACGAGAAGACCCUAAAGAUCUUUAUUUAAUUAUAAUUUUAAUAAUUUAGGUUUAAUUUAGUUUAAAAUUUUAAUUAAAUUUUAUUGGGGUAAUAUAAAGAUUAAAUAAAUUCUUUUUAUUAAUAACAUUAAUUUAUGAAUAUAUGAUCCAAUAUUAUUGAUUAUAAGAUUAAGUUACCUUAGGGAUAACAGCGUAAUUUUUUUGGAGAGCUCAUAUCGAUAAAAAAGUUUGCGACCUCGAUGUUGGAUUAAAAAUUAGCUUGGGUGUAGAAGUUCAAGAUUUUGGUCUGUUCGACCA